AUUGAACGCUGGCGGCAGGCCUAACACAUGCCAGUCGAACGGUAACAGGAAGCAGCUUGCUGCUUCGCUGACGAGUGGCGGACGGGUGAGUAAUGUCUGGGAAGCUGCCUGAUGGAGGGGGAUAACUACUGGAAACGGUAGCUAAUACCGCAUAAUGUCGCAAGACCAAAGAGGGGGACCUUCGGGCCUCUUGCCAUCGGAUGUGCCCAGAUGGGAUUAGCUUGUUGGUGGGGUAACGGCUCACCAAGGCGACGAUCCCUAGCUGGUCUGAGAGGAUGACCAGCCGCACUGGAACUGAGACACGGUCCAGACUCCUACGGGAGGCAGCAGUGGGGAAUAUUGCACAAUGGGCGCAAGCCUGAUGCAGCCAUGCCGCGUGUAUGAAGAAGGCCUUCGGGUUGUAAAGUACUUUCAGCGGGGAGGAAGGGAGUAAAGUUAAUACCUUUGCUCAUUGACGUUACCCGCAGAAGAAGCACCGGCUAACUCCGUG
This 490-nucleotide ribosomal RNA is filed under the name uncultured bacterium. Its description in RNAcentral is "partial 16S ribosomal RNA". It matches the Rfam family "Bacterial small subunit ribosomal RNA", at positions 30 to 507 of the family's 1533-position model. The record is from RNAcentral.